This 493-nucleotide ribosomal RNA is filed under the name uncultured bacterium. RNAcentral's name for it is "partial 16S ribosomal RNA". It matches the Rfam family "Bacterial small subunit ribosomal RNA", at positions 899 to 1397 of the family's 1533-position model. The record is from RNAcentral.
ACUCAAAUGAAUUGACGGGGACCCGCACAACCAGUGGAGCGUGUGGUUCAAUUCGAGACAAAGCGAAGCACCUAACCAGGGUUUGACAUGCUAGAGUCCUAUCUCCUGGAAACAGGAGAAAUUCGUAAGAAGACUAGCACAGCUGCUGCAUGGCUGUCGUCAGCUCGUGCCGUGAGGUGUUCCUUUAAGUAGGACAACGAGCGCAACCCCUAUCUGAUGUUACAAGUGUCAUCAGAGACGGUCCCGAUUUUUGUCGGGAAGGAAGGAGGGGACGACGUCAAGUCAGCACGGCGCUUACACCCUGGGUCACACACACCCUACAAUGGCGAAAAACAAUGGGAUGCAAGACGGCAACGUUAAGCUAAUCCCCAGUAAAUUUCGCCUCAGUUCAGAUUGGGGUCUGCAACCCGACCCCAUGAAGUCGGAAUUGGUAGUAAUCGCAGAUCAGCAGGCUGCGGUGAAUACGUUCUCGGGUCUUGUACACACCGCCCGU